This 1069-nucleotide long non-coding RNA is filed under the name Myripristis murdjan (pinecone soldierfish). Its description in RNAcentral is "lncRNA (ENSMMDG00005016980.1)". Lineage: Eukaryota; Metazoa; Chordata; Actinopteri; Holocentriformes; Holocentridae. The record is from RNAcentral.
AGUGACACCUCUUUCCUUCCGCUUAACUCUUUGUAAUUAUUUCCAGGAGGCGACAGCGAGCGAUUUGUUUUUUGUUUUCUGCGUGUUUUGAGUGAUGCGCGUGAAAUUAAAUUUUUAUGAAUGAUUCCAAACAUAACAUGGAAACAAAAAUUGUGGCCAGUAAGCGUCAGAAAUGAAUUUCCCCAGCAAAAGUCGCAUUGACAUCCGUCGUUUUAGCUAUACCUUAACCAGUGCUCGGUCAGUGUUAGCUAGCUUGUAACGUUUUUGCCAACCAGCAGUUUUACAGCUCCACUGAGGAGACGCCAGUGGAAGGAGCUUGUAAUUAAGGAGUGUCUCUGUACCAGUAGCAAGGCAGAGACGUCAGGAAAGGAACUUCAUGGAGCCACAAGGUUGAAGGUGAACCAUUGGCUGGCAAGACUGCUGCUGGCAUUCCUAGAGGCUACUGGAACUUCUCCUGGGUAGCAGAGGAUGAGCUGAGCUUCCCCAAGGACGCAGUGCCCAUGUCAGAUCACAGAUGCCCUGGCAAUAACAAAAUAUGUGACCAGCGCAUAGGGGCUAACCCAGAGUUCACAUGGAGCGUAGUGGCUGCUUGGAACCCACGGGAUCAAGGCAACGCGAAGGCUGAAAAGAAGGAAGGAAGUCCCCAGGGGUGGGAGGAAGGUAAGACUGAAGGUCAGUUCCUCUGGGUGAACAGUUCAGCUUUUGGAGGCCCCUGGGUGCUGAGUCCAUGGCUGUGGGGGGGCAAGCGUGUCUGUGGCCUGGACAUGGCCGUGUUCCUCCACCCCAAGCAAAGUGGGCAAUACACCAUUUGGCUCAUAGAGCGAGACAAGCCGCCACAACCCCUCCUGUCUACCGACGCCCUGCCACGUAUGACAGGCUGGGCGGUGGUCCACCUCACCCUGGGAACACACGGGGGCUCGCCCUUUCGGAUCUCAGCCAGCUACGACCAGCGGAUCCCCCAGGAUACCACAGCCACCAUCGAACCUCGCUUCACCACCAACUGUACUAUAGGUAAGUCAGCGCCUCCAUACUCUAGACACAGUGGCAUUGCUUUUUUGGUGUUGUUGCU